ACGGAAGGCAGCAGUGGGGAAUAUUGCACAAUGGGCGAAAGCCUGAUGCAGCGACGCCGCGUGAGUGAAGAAGUAUCUCGGUAUGUAAAGCUCUAUCAGCAGGGAAGAAAAUGACGGUACCUGACUAAGAAGCCCCGGCUAACUACGUGCCAGCAGCCGCGGUAAUACGUAGGGGGCAAGCGUUAUCCGGAUUUACUGGGUGUAAAGGGAGCGUAGACGGUUUGGCAAGUCUGAAGUGAAAUGCGGGGGCUCAACUCCUGAACUGCUUUGGAAACUGUCGAACUAGAGUGCAGGAGAGGUAAGUGGAAUUCCUAGUGUAGCGGUGAAAUGCGUAGAUAUUAGGAGGAACACCAGUGGCGAAGGCGGCUUACUGGACUGUAACUGACGUUGAGGCUCGAAAGCGUGGGGAGCAAACAGUAUUAGAUACCCUGGUA
RNAcentral lists this ribosomal RNA (434 nucleotides) under uncultured Lachnospiraceae bacterium. Its description in RNAcentral is "partial 16S ribosomal RNA". It matches the Rfam family "Bacterial small subunit ribosomal RNA", at positions 341 to 792 of the family's 1533-position model. Lineage: Bacteria; Bacillati; Bacillota; Clostridia; Lachnospirales; Lachnospiraceae. The record is from RNAcentral.